Molecule: long non-coding RNA, 1013 nt
Filed under: Carassius auratus (goldfish)
Lineage: Eukaryota; Metazoa; Chordata; Actinopteri; Cypriniformes; Cyprinidae
Description: lncRNA (ENSCARG00000068414.1)
Source: RNAcentral
AGAUUAGAUCAACAUCCUCUAUUUAGUAAUUACAGUACAAAACUAUACAAUAAGUAGCUAAUAAAUAAGAAUACUAUAGUAGAAAUACAAAAUAAAAUAUAUAUGUGCCUUUUUAUGUUAUUGGAACACUUAUUUCUGCUUUCAUCUUCCGUUUGAUCUAUUUCAGAUGGUUAACAUACCUGCUUCUUCUGAUUUUGGACCUAGUCAUCUGUCUCAUAGCAUGUCUGGGAUUGGCAAAGCAGUCUCGAUGGAUGCUCACAGUUCAGUAUUAUGGUGUGUGGUGUACUGACCCUGAUCAUGAGUUGGGCAUCAUUAGGAGCGGGCACAGCAACAGCUGUGGUAAGUUACUGUGUUUUCACAUGAGUGCGUACUUUAAACCCCCUUUGAUCAGUGUCCAGUGACUAUGAGUCACUUCAUUCACUAACACUGUCCUAGAUUUUUUUUUUUUUUUUUUUAAAGUGAAUGUUUGUAAGGGUAGAGGUUGCGUGAGCUGUGCUAAACUCUUAGGAGAUUAUCAGGGUUCAGUGACUGCGUUUCUGCAUCUCGUGGUGCAUGCCAGUUUGAAAAGCUGAUUAUAAAGCUCUGGUCAUUUAAAUUAGACAGUCCACUGGCUCAACGGAUGUAAACAGCCAUUCUCUCUAUCACUUAACAGGCCAAUUUAUCUAAGGUCUCGCCUCGCUCUUCAUCUCUGCAUCUCUCAGGCUGCAUGCAUAAUAAAGAUAGCAAACUGUAUUUAACAUUCUGAAGAUGCCUUUUAUGUAGUCUUGACUUGUAAUACAGUAAUUAGGUGUGUAGUACCGUACACCUGGAGCUAAGUGCCUUGUUCAUGAUGUCACUGGGGUAUUGAAGGGGAAUCUCAUGUGCUUUACACUUCCUGUGAUGCACUUACCUGACAUCAAACACGCCACUUUUCAUUAGCAGUCCAAAUCUUCAACUAUGAAUCCGCAACCUUGCUUAAACAUGUUUAUAGCUAACAAAUGCUGUGAAAGAAAUAGUAAAUGCUACUUGCAUUU